AAGGAGUUGAAGAAACAACUCGAUGAGCAAGAAAGAUUGGGUCUCAUUCGGCCUAGUACUUCUCCGUGGGGUUGUGGUGUUCUUUUUGUGAAGAAGAAGGAUGGAUCGAGUCGACUUUGUGUUGAUUACCGUCCAGUAAACAAGAAGACCAUCAAGAACAAAUACCCACUUCCCAACAUCAAUGAGCUGUUCGAACAACUCAAGGGUGCUCAAGUAUUCUCCAAGCUUGAUCUCCGUAUGGGUUAUCAUCAGAUUCGUAUUCGUGAGCAAGAUAUUCCCAAGACGGCGUUCAGAACAAGUUUUGGUUCAUAUGAAUACACCGUCAUGUCUUUUGGCCUCGCCAACGCUCCUCCGACGUUCUCUCGUAUGAUGAACUUCAUCUUCAACCCCGUACACCAAUGA
Molecule: ribosomal RNA, 402 nt
Filed under: Triticum aestivum (bread wheat)
Lineage: Eukaryota; Viridiplantae; Streptophyta; Magnoliopsida; Poales; Poaceae
Description: partial small subunit ribosomal RNA
Source: RNAcentral